UACAGAGGGGGCAAGCGUUGUUCGGAAUUACUGGGCGUAAAGGGCGCGUAGGCGGCCUGUUAAGUCGAACGUGAAAUCCCCGGGCUCAACCCGGGAACUGCGUCCGAUACUGGCAGGCUUGAAUUCGGGAGAGGGAUGCGGAAUUCCAGGUGUAGCGGUGAAAUGCGUAGAUAUCUGGAGGAACACCGGUGGCGAAGGCGGCAUCCUGGACCGAUACUGACGCUGAGGAGCGAAAGCCAGGGGAGCAAACGGG
Molecule: ribosomal RNA, 253 nt
Filed under: uncultured bacterium
Lineage: Bacteria
Description: partial 16S ribosomal RNA
Rfam family: Bacterial small subunit ribosomal RNA
Source: RNAcentral